GACGAACGCUGGCGGCGUGCCUAAUACAUGCAAGUAGAACGCUGAAGGAUGAGCUUGCUCUUCUGGAUGAGUUGCGAACGGGUGAUUAACGCGUAGGUAACCUGCCUGGUAGCGGGGGAUAACUAUUGGAAACGAUAGCUAAUACCGCAUAAGAGUAGAUGUUGCAUGACAUUUACUUAAAAGGUGCAUUUGCAUCACUACCAGAUGGACCUGCGUUGUAUUAGCUAGUUGGUGGGGUAACGGCUUACCAAGGCGACGAUACAUAGCCGACCUGAGAGGGUGAUCGGCCACACUGGGACUGAGACACGGCCCAGACUCCUACGGGAGGCAGCAGUAGGGAAUCUUCGGCAAUGGACGGAAGUCUGAACGAGCAACGCCGCGUGAGAGAAGAAGGGUUUCGGAUCGUAAAGCUCUGUUGUAAGAGAAGAACGAGUGUGAGGGUAGAAAGUGCACAAUGUGACGGUAUCGUACCAGAAAGGGACGGCUAACUACGUG
Molecule: ribosomal RNA, 495 nt
Filed under: uncultured bacterium
Lineage: Bacteria
Description: partial 16S ribosomal RNA
Rfam family: Bacterial small subunit ribosomal RNA
Source: RNAcentral